RNAcentral lists this ribosomal RNA (482 nucleotides) under uncultured bacterium. RNAcentral's name for it is "partial 16S ribosomal RNA". It matches the Rfam family "Bacterial small subunit ribosomal RNA", at positions 30 to 507 of the family's 1533-position model. The record is from RNAcentral.
AUUGAACGCUGGCGGCAUGCCUUACACAUGCAAGUCGAACGGUAACAGGUCUUCGGAUGCUGACGAGUGGCGAACGGGUGAGUAAUACAUCGGAACGUGCCCGAUCGUGGGGGAUAACGAGGCGAAAGCUUUGCUAAUACCGCAUACGAUCUACGGAUGAAAGCGGGGGAUCUUCGGACCUCGCGCGGACGGAGCGGACGAUGGCAGAUUAGGUAGUUGGUGGGAUAUAAGCUUACCAAGCCGACGAUCUGUAGCUGAGCUGAGAGGAUGAUCAGCCACACUGGGACUGAGACACGGCCCAGACUCCUACGGGAGGCAGCAGUGGGGAAUUUUGGACAAUGGGCGAAAGCCUGAUCCAGCCAUGCCGCGUGCAGGAUGAAGGCCUUCGGGUUGUAAACUGCUUUUGUACGGAACGAAAAGCCUCUUUCUAAUAAAGAGGGGUCAUGACGGUACCGGAAGAAUAAGCACCGGCUAACUACGUG